GGCUGCUGACGACCACGUGGGCCCCAUCCUGGGCCAGGCGCCGGGCGAUGGCAAAGCCAAUCCUGCAAAAGAGAUAUACCGUCAAGGCCUCUACAGAAGGGAAAAAUGCAUUUGAGGCCUGAGGACAAGAGUCCAGUUGUUGAAGAAUGCUUGUUUCUGGAUGGGACUGGCUCUGGGUACUCACCCGUCGGUGGAGGCUGUCACCAGGGCCACCUUAUUCGCGAGCGGGUUGUGGCGAGUCAUCCCGGAGCUGGCCAUCCUCACCGAUUUCCAGGGUAGAGUCCAGCCACCCAGCAGCGGUCUCGCUUUGUGCAUAGUUCGGGCCACGUGAGCUGGGAGAGGUAACAGUUCAAAGGGCAGGGGCCCGGCUGAGUGGGAUGGUCCUACCUCUUCAGACAGCCCCACUUCCAGGAGCUGCUCCCAGGGCGAGGAGAGCCGCUGCGCUCGCGAGUGCUCCCUGCCGGCGCCCGGCGCCCCUUCCUGGAACACCCGUCAAGUUUUCAGUCCAAGUUUUUUUCGGGACCGCCCACACCUCCUCUACAGGAAUCCGGGCUUUUCACUGCUCCAGCGGCUCCUCACAAGUCUGCUGGCCCACUUAUUUUGGGGUGGGGUGAGGGGAGAGCUGAGGUGGAGGAAGCUUCGAAGCUUUAUCUCCUUUUAUUUAUUUUGUUCUGCUUCCUUAAACUCUACAUAAAAUUUCCUUCAAAAAAUGCCUGAGGUUUAUAGGUGGGGCUGCGCCGGUAACUCAUUUGCUUAAGUGCUCACUGAAGAAGCCCCAGACCCCGAGCUCCAGGGUCUUACACUCUGCACAUGAGCUACAUGAUUUGUUUUGUUUUUUAAACUUAGACCCAUUUUUUGUUUUAAUCAUUAAAAUACCUAUUAUUUAAAUUAUAA
Meriones unguiculatus (Mongolian gerbil) is the source of this 894-nucleotide long non-coding RNA. RefSeq lists it as uncharacterized. NCBI's taxonomy places the organism in Eukaryota, Metazoa, Chordata, Mammalia, Rodentia, Muridae. The record is from RefSeq and is a predicted model, not a curated record. The transcript has 2 exons.